UAUGAUAUUUACAACAAAUUAAACACUGAAUGAAGCAUCAAUUGCUACGUGAUUUUAUCACAAAGGCAAGGUAUAACUCAUCUCUUCCUUUCUCUUAAGCAAAUGACCUGAAUACCAUGAGGUAUCCACCCACACCUAAAAUUUAUCAUCCUAGUCAUCCCUGUUUUCUAUCAAGUUUUAUUCUUUGAUAAAAUCCCAUGAGCUUUCCCUUCAAAAUGGGUAGGAACAAACCUCAGAAUAUUCCAUCUUUAUGACACCACUGAAAAUGUUGAAUUCAGUUUUAGUGCUUUUGUUCAUUUAGGUAAGUGAUAUAAACAAAACAAUGGCAUUCUUGGCUUUUAUGGUAUGACUCGUGUGUGUGUGUGUGUCUGUGUGUCUGUGUCUGUGUGUCUGUGUGUGUCUGUGUGUCUGUGUGUGUCUGUGUCUGUCUGCCUGUCUGUCUGUCUGUCAGAGGACAACUUAUGGGACCUGUUUUACUGUUUUUUUCCUUGCACAGUGGGAUCCCAGGCUCGCACUCAGGUGAUUUGAUUGUGCAGUAAAUGAUCUACAAGCUGAGCCAUCUCAGUGGCCUAUCUUUUUGUCCUAAUUUUUGUUGUUUCUAACUGACUGUAUUUGAAAAUGUGCUUCAGUUUUCAAAAACAAUUUACAUUUGUGUAUAUUUUUCUAAUUAUUUGGAAGUGUUUCUCGGAUAUCUAACUUUCCAAGCAAUAUAAUAUUUAUAAUACACUCAUGCAGGUCCAGCACAGAAGUGGGUUUUUAUAAAUAGAAGUGAUUUCCCUAUUAUUUUUCACCAAAUGAUUAUGGUUUCCGUGGCUUCUCUGAAACUUUCCAGGAGUGAAAUAUGAGUCUCAGGCAUCAGGCUGUGAUUAUGGAGGAUAAGAUGUUAUGAAGAAGAGCAUUAAUACUGAAUUCAUUUCUAGAUUGUCAGCACUGUAGAACAGUUCUAACUGUAAAUAUCUACAUGUUCUAGAUUUAAUUUUUUUGUUUUGGUUGUCCAAAAGUGAGAAUAACAUGUUGAUGGGGAAGAACAGGAAGACUAACCACUUUUGAAUAUAAUCAAGACUUAAUAGAACAGAAUAAAUUUUAUUCUUUAUAAUGUGCUAAAGCACAAGCCAAAAAUGAUCUCUACAAUAAGGCUGAUAUGGUUUAGUUGUGUUAAAUAAUACUUCAUUGUAAGCAGUUUUACACAUUUGCAAUUUUUCAGAGUUCAAUUAUUUUUGAAUACAUGGGGAAAUUUUCCUUUCUGCUUUUAAUUUUUCUGGUGGCAAUUAUAAGAAGUAGAGGAGAAAGUUAAACUCUGUGUCUUUCAUCACAAACUUUUGAUAUUAUAAAACAAUGUAGCUGGAAUAAAUCAUAAAUAAUUCACAUUACUCAGAAUAAAACUGUCCUAUACAUUACCAGAGUGAAGUGUUAGGUGUUUAAUACAAGCUAGGAACUUGAAUACAGAGCUAAACUUCAUACUUUUAAUAAAAAUAUGGUUAUACGUGACUGAAAAUCUCUUGUUAUGGGGCUAGGAAAGAUGGCUCACCAGUUAAGAGCACUGGCUGAUCUUCCAAAGGACCUGGGUUCAAUUCCCAGAAUCCAUAUGGCAGUGUGCAACUCCAGUUCCAGGGGAUCUAGCAUCCUCAAACAGGCAUCAUAAAGGCAAAAACCCCAAUGUACAUAAUAAAUAAAUAGAAAGUUUUUAAAACUGCAGUUAUUUUACAUAUGUAUGUACCCUUUAAGUUAAUGUUGUCUUCCUUUUAUUUCAUUCUAUUGCUUCAAACUUUUCUAACUUUUAUAAGAAAUAACUACUUCACUUUAUCUGGUAAAAACAGAAGCUCCACUCUGUCACGGUAUGGGAAGCUAGAGAACUAGUGUAGCCUUUCCGAAACUAAUCUGGAUUCACUGUAACAAGCAAAGACAACAGACAUUCAGGCUCAUGACUUGACUGCCAGGCAGUGUGUUGCAGGGAUGCUGGCAACCCUGCAGUCUACAGUACAGUGUGAUCAGCAGACAAUUACAGGAUUUAUUCCUGGGAAGGUGGCACCAGGUCAAAGUUUCUCCAUGGAGAAUUCUCCACCUAGAAAAUCGACUUCAGUUCUGAAAGUAAUAGCCUUGAAACUUUCUGUGCCCCUUGAAUAAAUCUAAUAUUUUAAUCAAGACAUAAAUACUAUAAAUUUUGUUUUUCCAAUUUAUUUCAUUAAUUUUAUAAUUACUUUAAAUUUUCUGUUAACAUUGUAUUUUUUAUGUACAACAUGAUGUCUUGAAGCACACAGGCCACUGUGGAAUGGCUAAAAUAUAACAAGUUCACUACCUGUGUAGUUAUUUUCAUAGUGAGAGCAUAGCUUACUUUAACGUUUUUGUUUAUUUGUUUGUUUUUCUUUUUUGAGGCAGAGUUUCUCUGUGUAGCCCUGGCUGUCCUGGAACUCACUUUGUAGACCAGGCUGGCCUUGAACUCACAGAGAUCGACCUGCUUCUGCCUCUGCUUCCUGGGUGCUGGGAUUAAAGGCAUGUGCCACCACUGCCAGGAUUUUUAUAUUAAUCUUUUUUAAAUGAAAUUAUUACAAAAUUUUUAAUGCCUGCUAUGAAAUUUAGGUAGCAAAGUCAUUUGAUUCCCCAUCAAUAAUAGUAAAAACGGAAAUCAAGAAAUAAGAUCUUCAUAGAAAUUGGAAUUUUAUAUCUUCCUCUUAUUUUUUAUUUUCCUUUCUCACUAUAUUUAUGCUAGUUUGAUAUAAAUGUAUUCAUAUAAUAUUGGUUUACUUUCAAAUUACAUCAUUUGUUGACUAUAUAUAUUUUUUUCUACAGCAAAAUAUAAACAUAUAAAUAAAUAAGUUAGUUUUUAAUUUUUCCAAUAGAUUUCCAAUGUUAAAAUAUUUAUAUGAGGUUGAUGGGGGAAGUUCUUCUGUAUAUAUGUUUCUCUUAUUGGUUGAUGAAUAAAACACUGUCUGGUCUAUAAGGCAGGAAGAUAGGUGGGACUACGACAAGAAGAAUUCUGGGAAAGGUAGGCAGAGAGGGCCCACCAGAACAGUCACCAUGUAGGCCACCAAAGGAGUAACAGGUCCAGACCCUUCUCAGGUAAGAUAAGACCAUGUAGAAAUACUUAAAAUAAUAGAAGUGGGCUAAUAAUUAAGAAGAGCUAGCCAAUAAGAACCCUUAGUCAUUGACCAACAAUUUUAUAAUUAAUAUAGCAUCUGCGUGUUCAUUUGGGGCUGAAGGGCAGAGGGACCAGCCAUGACAAAGAACCUCUCAUAAACAUGAGAUACAUCAUAAUUUUUACUGGUAAAUUGCUUAGUAAAUGCAUUAUAUUACUGGAUUAUGUUCAAUAUAAUUACAUAAAUAUGAAAAUUGAUAAAUCAAUACAUGAAAACCAAUGCUGAACAUAUUUCAAGGAGAUGGAUAUGUCUGGGUGUUUUUUUCCCUAUAGGUUUUGUGUAUGAAUGUUAUGUAUUGCUAGAACAAGUUAAAGUUUAGCAAUAAUUCUAUUCUUUUCUCUUCUUUAACUUUUUAAACAUUUUUCCUUUUAUUGAAAAUAGAUUCUUUUCUCACAUAAUAUAUCCUGAUUACAGUUUCCCCACCUCCUCUCCUAUCCAGAUCCACUUCCUUUCUGUGUCACAUUGGAAAAGAACAGGAUUCUAUGAGAUAAUGUUGAAAUAAAAAAAAUAAAAUGUAAAAAGAUACAACAAUAACUAUCACAUCAAAUUUGGACAUGACAAGCCAACAGAAAGAAGAGUCCAAGAGAAGACACUUGGACCUCUGAACAAUUUUUGUGUUCCAUUUAGAGCUGAGUGUUCCAAGUUCUCUCAUUCUCUGUAUAGUGUCUGGCUGUAGGUCUCUAUAUUUGUUUCCAUCUGCUACAGGAGGCAGCUUCUCUGAGGAUGGCUGAAUAAGGCACUGAUCUAUGAGUAUAGCAGCUAUUUUCAUUCUUAUUUGACAUUUUAAUUUAGAUAAGUGCUAAAACAUCCCUUUGUAGAUGCAAACAGAGGUUUUUUUUUUUUAUAUAGUUGUAACACAAUACUUGGGCCUUUGAAGUUUUUGUGUCCCAAAUUACAUGUUCAUCUACCAUGCAAAAAAAAUUAUUUUUGAAGGUAUAUCAGCUGAAAUUUCGUCAAUGUACAUUCACUUGUGUGGAAAGAACAGAAUUGACACCAGAUGUGAAAUUCACUUUCCACACCUCCUGCCGCAGUUAUAGCAUAUUGUCACUCAUCCAUAUCUUUAGUAUCACUGCUGGUGUGCUCAAUCACUCGGGGGAAAUCCUAACAAAAUCCCAAGGGUGUGAAAAAAUGACUUUAUUCUUAUGGCAGUAAAGUAGCAUUCUCAAUAGGAAUGUCUUCCCCACAAAUCCUUCUCUUAGGGAAUUUGUGGGAAAUGCAUAUCUCUACAGCACUCUUAACACUCUACAUGGGCCUGGGAAGUCUUUAUGAACUCCUGUGUGGAUACUUUAGUUGAGGACCAUUGUUUCCAAGUAUCUGUGAUACACUAGACACUUAAGAGUAAGUAAAGGACAACUGAUGUCCUUCUUACAAUAUUUUAUUAAAUGAAUAUUUCUUAUAAAUUUACCAAAUAAGUGCCAAACCUAAAUCAGUGUGGUUAGUGGAAGAGGCUUGGAUUUAAAAGUCUAAAAGCAUGGUUUCAAUCAUUAACUCUACUGCUAGCUGGCUAUCUUCCUGUAGAAGACUUGGUACACUUUGCUGCACCUAAGUUUUCUCAUUUAAAGACUAGACAAGAAUAGUAUUUCUUGAAGUUAAAUAACAUGCUUUGAGUACACACUUGGUUUAUUAUCAGGAAAAAUAAUCGGCACACUAAAUGCAUAACCUGGAAUACACUUUUUAGAGGGUAUCUAAAGUGAGUAAUUUGGAGUUUAUUUCAAAGAAAAUUUAUUUAAAAAAUCAAAUAACCAGAUAUGUAUUAUAAACAUUAAUAAGGGUGAGAAAUACUGGAAUUAUAAUUAUCAGUAGUAUCCAGUAUUAUAUGAUUUUAUGAAAAUCACUUAGAAGAAAUUUGGAAAAUGAGGAGGGAAAGGAAAAGGGAUCUUAGGAGGAACAAAUAUUUCUACAGAGUCUCAUAAAAUGCCAUAGUCAUGGAUGGCAACUAUUAGCCAGCAUAAGAAACUCCGAAAGGCAAGUUCAGGCAUAUUAUCCAACUAAGCACUCAUGGAUAGAUGUUUUCAAGACUGGAGACCAAUUAUGUAAGUCAGACUUCCAUAACCUUCUUUCCGUGAGCUAAAAACCUUCUCUCUGUGUCCACACAGCCAAGGGUGUGGAAAUCUGAUGUAAUUACCCAGGCAGGGCUGGCGAAUAAAACUGACCACAAAUUGUGGAAGACUGAGCUAUACACUUACGUCAGCUAUCUUCUCUGGUCAGAUUGUCCAAGUAACCUGCUAGCCCUUUUCAUUCCUUGCCUAUGUUGACACAGCCAAUCCCAGGGCUGGACUUUAAUUACGGCAGCAUACCUCUAAAUAAAUUGGAGUUUUCCAUAUCAGUAAAAAAAAUAUAUCCUUUAAAUCUCUGUAACUUCGAGCCCAGCCUGGUCUACAAGAGUUAGUUCCAGGACAGCCUCCAAAGCCACAGAGUAACCCUGUCUCAAAAAACAAACAAAAAAUUAUCCUUUAAAAAGUGAUAUAUUCUUCAAAAUUUUAAGAAGUAGCUUCAUUUUUCUUUUGUUACAUCCAAUUUUCCUGAAAUUUUUAGUAAAAUAUUAGGAAUAAGAUGAAACUUUUAAUCUUUUCCCCUUCUGUAUGUUAAUCCAUUCUUAAAGGACAAAAUAAAUUUCAUUGACAUAAAAGCCUUAAUGUGUGUGUGUGUGUGUGUGUGAGAGAGAGAGAGAGAGAGAGAGAGAGAGGAGAGUGUUAUAGAUACAACGAAACCUAUCAAAAAAGUAGAAAGUGAAAUGUAAUAUGAGUCCUUGCUUUAAAAUAAGCUAAUUCACCAAUGGUUUCCUCUUCUAUUCUAAUUUUUAAAAUCACUGUAUUUGGUAUAGUCUUAAAUAUUUCUUAAAUUCCAAAUACCUUUUCUCUAAAUAACCAUUGAAACACUUUGUUAUUUUACCAUUUCCUCUAAUUCAACCUUGUGGCAUAAGGACACCAGAAAAAAAAAAAAUCUUAUGACUUCUCUAAAUAUUUUUCUCUGGUUAAAAAAGGUCAAAAAUUCAAAACAUUAAGAAAACAAAAUAACUGGUGGCUGCCAUUAUAGUACUGCUGAGGAGUUUGUAUGUGCUGUACUGUGAUCAAUGGUGCUUUAUUUUAGAGAUCUGUCUGGGAUUCUCUUUGGAUCCUGCAAUGAUGGACUUGGUGUUGAAGCUGUAUUGAUCGGUUACUGAAGAAUUUUCCUCUGUUUCACAUCAUCUUCCCACUAAUGGUUCCCAGUUCAUAUUUUCUGGAAGAACCAGUAUGCAAGCAUGCUCUUUCCAAAUGGGGCUUUGGUAGCAGAUGGCAGGUCAAAUCCCUCAGGAAGUGAAGAUCAAGAAGAAAUGGUUGGAAAUUUUCCAGUUAACUCUGAGUAAUCAUGAGGUAAUCUGUAUAAUACAUAAACCCAUUCACACCACCUCUUCUCCAAAUUCCCCAGAAGCAUUAUUAAUCAGCAUGGCAAGCCGUUAAAAAAAGAAAGAAAGAAAAAGGAUGCCAGACUGUCUGGAAGGAAAGACUGAGCAAGAGGCAUGUUGCUGUAACAUGAGCAGACCAUUCUAUCAUCAAUGCAGUCCUAGAGGGCUCUGGUUUUAGCAUUUAUCAGCAUCAAGAACAUCCCAAAGUUUACUGAGCCAUGAGUGAUAGCAAAGUGAACACUUAAAUGCAAAGUAUCCGAGGAUUAUGCUGCCAAGCGUAAGAGGUUGCCAUGCUGAAUCAAGGAGUGUGCCGCAAGCACUUUGACUGCUGGUCUGUAAAACCCUACAUGCAAAUAGCCAAGGGCUGUACCAGAAGAUAAGAGCAGCAAGGCUGUGUUCAAAGGCAGGGGAGAGGAAGGUACUUAUGGCCAAGAGGAAGUCAGAUAAUGCUAACACAGCACACUUGGAAAAGCCAUUUCGUAUUACUGCAUCUGCUCUGCAGCACCUAUGGGCAGCAGAGGGAGGCAUGUUUUGUUCUCUCUUUCUUCCAAAAUAGGAAAUAAUCUGUAUUUUCAAAUUAUUUAUAUUGUCUUAAUUAAAAUUUAUAUGAAGCUUAAGACAUGUUCACUAUUAACCCAAUUUUAAUGAUAACAUAGAAGAUUGUAAUAGUCAAGAUUGAACAGUCAGUCACGUUGCUGGUAAGAGAUACCAGAACAGUGGAUCUGACUCCAAGUUCCUUUAGCACCAAGCUACAUUAAUUUCAUUAAAACUUGAGUUGCCCCGGGGUUUCUAAUCUCAGUAGUAUCUCUACUAAGUCCAAAGCCUUUUAUUUUCCAAGUCUACACUUCACCUACUAUUGAAUCUGGUGAUAGAUUUUUAUUAAAAUAAAUAUAGAUCCUUCCUUUCUAAGAAACACUGAAGUGAAAUUAUUUCUCUAUAAUGGUUCCCAUCUAGAAAAAAAAAAAAAAGCAUAUUCCUCAGACAUAAAUACUUUCUGAGCACCCACCACCUGCACCAUACUGUGUUAGCACUUGCUGAACUCACUAAAAUCUGAUAGUUUGUGGAAUUCCCAACAGCAAUAUAUUUCUCUCAAACCAACGAAAGUAGACAUUCAUAACCUUUCAGGGUUACUCAUAACCUAUUUGUGUUUACUUUUAAGAGGUGUACAGACACAAGAUUAUUCCAUUUCCUUCUGUGCUGUUCAAGGAGAGACGGUAUGAGCCCAGCUUCCGGAUGUUGAAUCAUAUGACUUGAACCAGAGGUCAGGUAAAGUGGUGGUCAACUUCAGGUUCCAACCUGCAAAACAGCCCACCUCUGGAAGCCUAGUCAUUCAGGGAGGUGAGCGUGCCAGACACCACAAACCCAGACUUGCUGGUAGAGGCCCCUCAAGCCAAACAGCAGCACAGCCAGUAAAGGGUGGUGGGAGGUAGAAAGCAAGCUCGAGGCUGGCAAGGGGGCGGAGUGAGUCACUUCUUUGAUGUGGAGUGGUUAUUACAAACACAGCAAAGGUGAGCAAGCAUUUCCUUCCCCUGACUACUGUGACUACUGGUGUAGGAAACUGAGUCAUGGGCUAGGACAGCUUUAGAGUUGCAGGAGAGGAAAAUUCUUAUUUAUAGUCUAACAUCAAUUUUACUAAGAUGCAUUUUGUCAAUCUGGUAAAUCUGCAGUCUGCCUUAUGUGGAUAAGCCAGUUUCCUACUUAUUUGCAAAAUAUUUUCUCACUGUUCUUUUCUUAGUAAAGAUGCUCUUUGAGAGUUGUAUACACUCAACCUGAUCCUUUAUAGGUAAUGAUUAUUUAAAGAAAUGCAUUCAUUUUGUAAUUUCAACACUAGGAAGGUAGAGACAGGAAGAUCAGAAGUUCAAGGUCAUCCUCAGAUAAAAGGCAAGUUCGAGGUCAGCCUCACCUAUAAAAGAACCUGUCUAAGAAAAAGGAGAUGGGAGGAAGAAAGAGAAGAAGAAAGAAAAGAACAUAAAUUCUUAACAAUACAUCCAAAAUGUUGGCUCACAUCAGUCAGAAUAAUGAUAUAAGACUUUCAGAGAAAGUAUCUGUGUGAAUUAUUGCAUUUCCUUCCCUAAGACCAGGCUUAAUAUUACCUCCUUUCAUCUCUUUUAUAAAUAUAUAUUUUAAUUUCCUAACCAGCAAAAAAAAAAAAAAUGCCUAAGUUUAAACACUAUUUACCUGAAGCAGAACAGAGCAAGAGGGUCUAUUCUGAGUAGAGUACAUUGAUUUCCUUGUUAUCGUUGGUUAAGAAUUUCAUCAAAUUGCAGGCCCUAAACUAGCCCGGUAUUUAUAAGUCAGCCAUAGUUUGGUGUUCUUAGUUUUGCCUGGCUAGGGCACUAUACUCACAGAAACGCUCUGUGAUUUUAUGAAUGAUUAUAUUUGUUACUUUUUACAUCACUGUCACAAACUUCCUAGCAGAAAGGACUUGAGGGAGGGUUUAUUUUGGCUAGGGACGGCCUGGUGUGGGGCAGGGGAGGCACAGGGCCAGGUGGUUCGCCUGCGAUAAUUGGAGUUUGCAGCAAAGCUUGCUUACAUCUUAGAAGAACAGGAAACAGCUUGUUAGAGCCAAAUACAGAGGGGAGUGCAGUUUCCAAAGACAGAGCCACUUCUGCUCACUGGGCCACAGUACCACAGGUUCCACAACCUUCUAAAACAGUGAGUUGUCUGUGGCAAUGCUGAAAUAUGUGAACCUUACCGCAACAGAGACAUCAUUUGUUUAUUUGACUUUAUUAGAAAAAGACUAGAUGUUCACUGCUGGAACCGUAUCAUCACUCCUUCCUUCCACGGUGCCACAAAAUCUUCAGUGUAAAUAAAUCACAAAUUGAAAGCUCAAAUCACAGAAGAAAAAAAAUGAUGGCUUAUAGACUUAUCCAUUUUCUUAUUAAUUGUUAAAAGUAAUAAUAGUAAUAAUGCCAGAGUCUGCUAUAGCCAUCAGGAAUAUAGCAAAACCAAAUAGGAACUCACAGGGAAAAAAAGCAACAUUUGUUUAUGUUAAUGGUGGUAAGUGCUUUUUAGCAAAACCAAUUAACAGAAGGGUAAGGAGCAGGAAGAAGGGGUGUAAUUUCAAAUGGGGUGACCUGGGAAGUCUCACUAAGAAGGUUGCAUCACAAUUACGGUAAACUUGACCCUCAGUAACUACUGAAAUCCAGAAAUUGUUCUGGACUGAUGGUGAAAUCCACAAGGUUUGAAAAUGAUCAAGUGACCUACAUGAGGACAAUUUUCUCUUGCAUUAGGAAUUAUAUCUUACCCACACCUUAUGACUCAGAAGGUAUUAAUUUUUAUCUUCCUAACUCUGGUAGCCAAAUGUUAGGAUUGAGUCAGGCAAAUAUUUCCCAAAUGAGUUGUAGAAUGUACCCUUACUCACGAUAGCACCACUAAAACCAGCAGACGUGUUCCUGGGCGGUAGAAACUUGUGUCUGAGACAUUUGCAUAUUUAGAGGUGUUUUUAUUCCUUUAAAAGAACAUGACUGAGAAUCACUUUUAUAGCUAACAAGAGCCAGAGUAACUCAUGUUAAAGAAUAGGAUUUAAUUGAUAGUUUAGAAGUUGAAAACUUCUGAGUAAAAGCUAGCCCCAAAGCAUUUCAUGGUGAAAAAAAAGUUUCAUAAUUUCCUUAAAAAUAUUCCAGAUGAUAACUGAUUGAACUUUAAAAUAUUGGCUUUGGUAUAUUUUUUUCCUCCCACGAAGAAAAUGCUUGUAAGAGCAAAAAAUCCAUUCUAAGUGGCUCUGAGGGAGUUCAUGUUUUGUUUAAGAAUUGUGGUUUCUCUUGGCUAGCAAACAUACAGAAAUAGUUUCCCUGGUGUAAAACAUUAGAAUGACAGACUCUUGUUGGGAAUGGAUAGAAAUAGACAUAAUUACAACUGUAACUACAGGGAAAAGAAGGCAAAUGAUCAAACAUUUAUUGGGCUUAAGCACAGUAAAUUGUCAACUCCAAAAAUCAUGAUUUGUUUAAUAAAAGUCAAUACCACUGCAUUCAUGUCCAAAUCUAGAGAAAAGAGACUUGGAGCCAGAUUGGUACACUGGGAGUUUGUUGGCACUGCUGCUGAGAGGGACGAGCCCGAGAAAAUGAAAGUAGAACUUGGCAAACAAGAAUGGAUCCUGCAGUUCAGUAGUCCAAAGCCAACAGCCAGUCCCUUGUAGAAUUUUGAAGGUGGGAUGACACUUCAACAUUCUGCUCAGCUGAGACAAGCGGUUCCCUUUGACCAAAGGCAUAUCUGAGGCUGGGAAUUUAUCCGUGACUUGUUACCAGCCAAUGUGGCAGCCAGGACAUGAAUUCCAUGGCUGUGAAAGAGAACUUGGAAGACCUCAGCAUCUGCAGCAGACAGUACGGCUUCAUCUCUGAUACAAGAAUGGUGAAAGAUGCACGGACUUCACUGUGUCGCUGCAUAGGUUGGAGUGUGGGGUGGCAUGCCCUUUCAAAACUGAAAAUCUGGAACCACAUUGCAGUCUGCGUGUUUAUUAAAGGCAGGUACAGCUAGCAACCCCACUUGGUCUGGUACAAAAGGAAACGCAGGUUCUCUUGUUCAAAAGGAGGAAGAAAGAUGCUGCUGAUGGUCCCAAGGCAUACAUUUUCUAUUCCUUCUUGAUGGGUGCUCUACAUUUUAGGAUGUUUCAUUUGCUAUUUAAUGCUGUUCUAGAUAAGAAAAUUUUACUUUAAAAUCGCAUUUAGGAUUUGUGCUAAGUGAGGUAUAAUCUGAUCUUACCAGAAAACUGAACAAGGAAGCUGUGUGAAGAGUAGAGAGGGGGGUGGGAGACAAACAAACAAAAAGGUGUGUAAGAGUAGGGGGUGGGAACAGACAGGUAUGUUAACUUUAUUCAUACGGUGAUUUUUUUUUUACUUUCUAUACAUAAUCUGCAAUAUUUUUUACAUGCCUUAAAUACACACAAAAAUAAUUUUUAAAAUUCAUGUAUAAAAGGCAGACAGCUCGUAUAGGCUUGUGCAUUUUAUUCUUGCUUGAACAGGGAAAGUGGAUGUUUAGUCAAUUGUUGUAUUUAGUGUCCUCAUAGAAUCAUAUUUUACUAGUACUCUCUCCUUUCAACUUUGUAAUUAAAUGUGGACUUAAAAGCAACUCUGGAUUGUCAUAGCUCUUCCUUUCCUUUCUUGCCAUAAUUUUUAGUGUAAAUGUCUGGCUUGUAUGCAGACAACACAAGCACAGACAGAUAUGAUAGUGUUUCUAGGGUACUAUGUGUGCAUGUUUUUCCUAACUGUGGAUGUACUGUGUCCAUCCAUCCUUCAUUACCAAGACUAUGCCCUCAAACUAUGAGCCAAAAUAAAUGCUUCCUGCCUUAAGUUUUAUUUGUCAAGUAUUUUGUCACAGAAAAGAGAGAAAUAAUAUAGAAAAUAGUUUCCAAGAGUGGUGUCCUUGCUGUGAUAACAAACCUGACCAUGUGGUUCUUAGCAUUUUUAGGAAGUGGUUUGCAAGAAAAGUGUGAAAGAAUUUGGAACUUUGGGAUAGAUAAGCCAUAUUAAGCAUGGCUUAAUGGAAGUUUGAGUGGCAGGAGUUUGAAAGACUAGAAUGUCUUUAGAAAAGUCAAGAAAACGCAGAUGGAGGUCUGGUUCAUGAAGCUUCAUGUAGAAACAAGUAUGCUAGUGAGAGCUGGGCCAGUAUAUUCUGGCAAAGAAUUUGACUCAAGUCCUUGAGCUAAACUGGAAAGUAAUUGACUAAUGUGUGUGGGGGGGGGGGUGGAGAAUGUCAAGACCAGAUAUCAUUCAGUCUGUUUCAUGGUUUCUGCUCACUGCUAGUAUCCAAGUCUACAGUGAGAGAAAGCAACAUGGAAGCAAAGUGAUGUAGAAAAUGUGUCAUUUGGUGAAGAAAGGAAGGAAUCUAAUAUUGCUGACAAAGGGAGUGCUGAGAAAGUAGCUGUAACUAUUAAAGAUGUUACCACCAUAUGGUGGUUUAAAUGAAAAUGGCCCCAUAGGCUCAUAGGGACUGGCACUAUUGGGAAGUGUGGCCUUGUUGGAGUAGGUGUAGCCUUGUUGAAGGAAGUGUGUCACUGGAGGAAGGUUUUGAAAUCUCAGAUACUUAAGCCAGGCCUAGUAUAUCUCAGUCUCUUCCUGCUGCCUAGAAAUCCAUAGGCAGAAUUCUCAGUUCCUCUCCAGUCCCUCGUUUGCCUGCAUGCAACCAUACUUCUUGCCAUGCUGAUAAUGGACUGAACCUCUGAAACUAUUAGCCAGCCCCAAUUAAAUAUUUUCCUUUAUAAAAGUUGCUAUGGUCAAAAAGUUCUCUUUGAAGCAAUAAAACCCUAACUAAGACACACCAUGAAAAAGAAACCUGUGAAUAUGGACAAGAUCUAGCCACUGAAAUCUCCAUCUUGUUAAAAUUUAAAUACAAGUCUGUGGCUCCAGGGGUUGCUCUUCCUUCAUUUGGUACAGAUGCAGCCUGAAAUCAUCCUGAGUGAGGUAACCCAGACCCAGAAAGACAAACAAGAUACAUACUCAUUCAUAAGUGGAUAUUAGACGCAAAGCAAAGGAUAACCAAGCUACAAUUCACAACCCCAGAGAAGAUGGGUAACAAGGAGGACCCUAAGAGAGCCACACAUGGAGGGCCUCAGGUAGAAGAAACAGUUAAGAUCUCCUGGGUAAACUGGGAGGGAGCAGAAGGGAGGAGAUGGGAACAUGAGGGGAUUGAGAUGGCCAAGUUGGGAAGGGACAGAGAGGGAGAGCAAUGAAUGACAUACCUUGUAAGAAGGAGUCAAUAUGGAAUUAGGGAGAAACCUGGUGCUAGGACAAUUCUCAGGAAUCCACAAGGACUACCCCAGUUAAGACUCCUAGCAAUAGUAGAGAAGGUACCUGAACUGACCUGCCCCUGUAAUCAGAUUAGUGACUAACCUAACUGUCAUCAUAGGACCUACAUCCAGUAACUGAUAGAAACAAAUGCAGUGAUCCACAGCCAAGCUCUGGGCUGAGCUCCUGGAGUUCAGUUGAAGACAGGGAGAGUGUAUCAUAUGAACAAGGGGGCAUCAAGAGCAUGAUGCAGAGAUCCACAGAGACAGCUAACUCAAGUUCAGAACUAUGGACUGACAGCUGGGGAACCUGCAUAGGACCAAAGUAGGCUCUCUGAAUAUGGGUGACAGUUGUGUGGCUUGAUUUGUUUGUGGGGUCCAUGCCCGUGGGACCAGGACUUAUCCUGGGUGCAUGAACUGGCUUUUUGGAGCCCAUUCCCUAUGGUGGGAUACCUUGCUCAGCCUGGAUGCAGAGGGGAGGGGAUUGGUCCUGCCUCAACUUUGGUAUACCAGACUUUGUUGACUCCCCAAAGGAGGCCCUACCCCCUCUGAGGAGUGGAUGGGUGGUGGGAUGGAAGGAGGUCGGGGGCUGGAGAAGGGGAAGGAAGGGGAACUUGGGUUGGUAUGUAAAAUGAAAAAAAUAAAUAAAAAUAUUAAUAAAGGUAAUGACAAUUUUUUAAAAGUAAAAAAAAAAUUCAAAUACAUUUGAAAGCAAAAACCUAUACUGAAAAUGUUACUGAAGGGGUUCCUUCCUUUUUCUAGAAAAGUAUUUCCCCAGAGUCAGCCCUGAAAGGCACAGAGGGACUAAUGCAACUGAGUGAGGGGGGGGGGGCAGACUACAACUCAAGCAAGUAGCAGAACUAGACAGCAUCACGCAUAUGGUACUGUGGUGGGCAUGAUACAUGAUACAAGGGAGUGAUAGAGGUUUGGGCCAAGGUUUCAGAAGGCUACUGAAGCCAGCGAUGCAAGGUGUGGCAAGAUUAGAGCUCCUGCAAUGAGGCCCAAAGAACCCAUGAUAUGGAGCUGUGAGGUUGAAGCCUAAGUCAUUGGAAAACUCAGGGUGUUGGUGAUGCCAGUACUAUAGAAUAUCUGUACUGAGGAAAGCUGUGUGCACAAAGUGUCAUUUGCCCAAGAGAAAAGCUGUGUGUGCUGACCCCUGGGGCCCUGAUAGUUCUGACAUGCCCCGGGUAGCUGUGUGCUGAACCUCUGGAGCCCUGAAGGUUCUGUCAUGCCCCAGGUAGCCAACAUCAUGCUGCAAGAGUUGGAGUUUUUUUUCUGCUGACUUUAGUUUUGUUUUGAUUCAGGAAUCAGGAUACCUUGAUUCCUCUCUUUGGGGAGAGAAACACCAUUUUGUUUUGGUAUUGUGCAAUUCGGAUGUUACAGGAGCUCACUGUUGAAAGGUUGCCUGAGUUUCAGAAGACACUCCACACUUACUUUGGACAGUGUUUGAACUGUUAGUGUACAGAAUUUUUGAGGCUUGUGUUAUGAGAUGUUAUGUGUCUCUGGAGACAAGUGGUAAAGGACUGUGACUUGAUAGUAAUGUGGUCGAAAGUCAGGUUAACAAAGGGCCAACUCCUGAUGGUUGAUAUUGAUUGCCAAUUUGACAGACUCUAGAAUCACUCAGUGAGGGGGGAAUGGGGCUGCUGGGUUGAUCCAGGCUUGUAGACCACUGAUAAUUUUGGCAGAAGUUCCAAGAUGAUUGGUCAUGUAUGAGAAAAGAGAAAAUAAAUCCAGGAGGAACUUGAUAAAUACUGCCAGUAAGAACUGCAUCACAUGCCAGUUAACACUGAUUGCACCUGUAGUUAAGUCAGAUGCCAUGCUCCAUCUUUUUGUAUAGUGCCUAGUGAAUCAUUCAGAAAUCCUGUGAAAUGUGAAGCACUGGUAAUAGCACUUUCAAAUGAAGAUGCCAAGGAUUAAAAUGAACAUGGAGCUUAGUAGUUUUCUGCUUGACUUCAGGUCUUUUAACUCAAAAACAGCUAAGACCUAGCAAUACUAAUGACAGCAAAAAAUGAUAAAAUUAAUGCAGGGUUGAAAAGUUAUGACAGAUGCACUGAACUUUCGGUUUAAGAUAUCUUAAUGUUAAGUGAUCCAUCCAGAGGAUUACAAGACCCUGAAGAACUAGUGUGUAAGGGAUUUACAGGAGUUGGCACUGAACAUGUUCAACUCCUCUCAAUAAAAUGGUAUGUCUAAAUUACCUCUAAGUCCUAGCACUAUUCCCAAAUUCUCUCUUUUCCAUAAAGAAAGUUUCCUGAUUCCUCAUUUGGAAAGUAUUUCUUCUUCCUUAUAUCUUAAAAUAAUAUAUAUUCCUAGAUUAAACAGUCACUAGGUUAUCUCUUUCAUUCAUAUAAUUUUCUAAAACUUUUAUGCUUUUGAUUGAGGUCAAGUCAAUGUGUAACAAAAUCUACAUAUCUAUAUAAUUCAUUGAGUUUUUGUAAAUACAUAUUUAAGAGACAGUUAUUUAAACAAAAUAUAGCUUAUGAUAGAAUAGUUAGUUCUGCAAACACAGAAAACAUAGAAGGUUUCUCCUUCUAUGACCACCAUCUUCCAACAAUCCAUCAGAGCCUAGCUUGGACAAUAAAACAUCAUACAAAUAGUCAUACGGCAUGUAUUCUUUCAUGUGUGAUUUGUAUCCUUUACAUAACUUAGAUUUGGUCAUACUGUUGUAGUCUCCCUUUUUACACUAGCUAGUACUGCCCCCUUACAAACAUCAAUAACCAUGCCCAUCUCCUGUGUUGCUUCUGACCCUGAGCUGUUAUGAAUGAGUGACUAUGCUUGUUCUUGUGCACAGAUGCCUAUGUUUACUUCUUUCAGGGGUGGUGAUAAACUAGUUCUGCCUUCUUUUGUUGAUCAGCAUGGUUGAACUUAAUUUUUAAUACUUUAGUUAGUAUGAAAUGGAGCCAUUGUGGUUUUAAUUUAAACAUUCUUUUCUUGUCCCUAUUAACCAUUCAUAUAUCCUCUAUGAUACAAUGGCCAGGUCUUUUGCCCAUUCUUUUUAAACUGAAAUUUUCUUUUUUAAUCUUUUUAUUAUGCAUUAGUACUGGCUUUUUCCCUUUUUUUUUGAAAAACAUCUUUUUUUUCCCCCUCAAAUACAUCUUGAUUAUGGUUUGCCCUCACUGUACUCCUCCCAGUUCCUCCCCACAACCCCUCCCAUCUGGAUCCAACCCCUUUCUGUCUCUCACUGGAAAACAAUUUUCUAAAGGAUAAUAGUAAAGCAAAAUAGGAUAAAACAAAAACUAAUGCAUCAAAAUAGGAAAAAAUAAAAAGGGAAAGACACGCCCCAAAAGGAACAUGAAACAGACAUAGAUUCCGAGUUCCACUUGUUUAUACACUCAGGAAUCCCAUAAAAACACUAAACUGGAAGCCAUUAUCUAUACAAAAAGGACAUGUAAGGUAAAAAGAGAAGUUUGUUUUGUUUUGUUGGGUUUUUUUUAAGCCCCGACAUGACAUUAUGAGACAAGCAACUUCCAAUGAUGCUGUGGAUGCUGUUGAGUUCAUUUUCUAUUGAUCAUCUAUUGCUCAUCACAUAGCCUACCUUUAAGAGCAUUUUGUUUCCCAAAUGAGACUCCACUGGAGAAAAGUAAAUUUUUUAUUUGCAAGUGGCUAUCAAUUGGAGAUAGCUUCUGGGUUAGGGAUGGGCGCAUAUGCCCACUUCCUUAAGCUCUAGCACCCAUCUGGUGCAGAACUGUGCUGCUUUAGUCUCCGUGAGAUCAUGAGAGCUUUGAUCAUGUUGAUUUAAAGAACUUUGUUUUCUUGGUGUCCUCCAUGCCCUCUGGCUCUUAGACUCUUUCUGCAUCUUCUACAGGAUCCCCCGAGCCCUGAGGGGAGUGAUUUGAUGGAGACAUCCAUUUUGGGCUGAGUAUUUUAAGGUCCUCCAUCCUCUGCAUAAUGUCUGCAUGUGGGUCCCUGUAUAAGUUGCCAUCUUCUGUGGGAGGAAGCUUCUCUGAUGAUGGCUGAGCAAGGCACUGACCUAUGAGUACAGCAGAAUGUCAUUAGGAACCAUUUUAUUGCUACAUUCUUUUGUCUGGUUUACCCUAGGUUCCUGGACUUUCUUCACCAUCAAAGCAAUGUCAGGUAUCAUCUUCCACAAUGGGGCCUUGCUGUCAGUCUGUGAAGAGCAACCUACAAUCUUAGCAAUAGCCUGCAUUGAUCAGGAGUUCAAUGAGAAGGCCUAACAACUCAAUUAGAUGUAACUAAUUCCCGGCACUGGAAGUUUCAUUUACUGGCAAGAGAUGUCUCGUUCGGACUUUGAACCAUCCUUGCAUCUCCGGGAUGAAGCCUACUUGAUCAUGGUGAAUGAUCUUUUUGAUGUGUUCUUGAGUUUGAUUUGUAAGGGGUAUUUUUUGAGAAUUAUUGCAUCUAUGUUCAUAAAGAAAAUUGGUUUGUAGUUCUUAAAGUCAUUUGCUUGGAAUAACUUUACCAUUCUUUUACCCUGAGGUGGUGUCUACCUUGAUGUUAAGGUGUGUUUCUAGGAUGCAGCAGAAGGAUGGAUCCUAUUUUCUCAUCCAUUCUGUUAGUCUGUGUCUUUUACUGGGGAAUUGAGACUAUUGAUAUUUGAGAGAUAGUUGUUGAUUCCAGUUAUUUCGCUGGUGUGUGUGUGUGUGUGUGUGUGUGUGUGUGUGUGUGUGUGUGUGUGUUGUUUGUGUGUGUUGUGUGUUGUGUGUGUUGUGUGUUUCCCUUCUUUAGAUUUGCUGGUCUGAAUUAUUCUUUGUGUUUUCUUGAGUGGAGCCAGUGGAAGUGGGAAGGCUGCAGUAGGUGGUCUGAUACAAAGCUGUGGAUGAAACUGGGGGAUUGAUUUGUGAGAGAGAGAAAGGAAGAAGAGGUGAAGAUCUGUAGUUAUCCUACCUGCUUCCCUGGCUAGAGUGGCCUGCGGGUUCCCAGGAAAUGCCUGCUAGAGUCAGCGGGCUGGAAUAAUGGGAUGAGUGGGUAAGGACGUUUGGAGGGGAAGAUCUGUGUGACCCACUGGAUUUGGGACCAUUUGUACUAACUUUUAAAUAGUCUAGAUAAAAAUCUUUGUUUUUAGUUUAUCUUGUUUUGUUUUGGGGAUUUUGUUUGUUUGUUGUUGUUUUUUAGAGAAAGUCUCACUAUGUAGCUUUGCUGGAGUGGAACAAAGUCCUGGAAGGCCUGUGCCUCUACAACUGGCAAAACCUUUGUUUUUAUGUGUUUUUUUCUUUUUUUCCAAUCUCGGCUUUAUUUUUCACUUUAUCAACUGUACCAGUGUUGGGCAAAAUCUCCCAGACAUAGCCAGGAUUUAGAACUAUCUCCAGCUUCUUUAUGGAAUAUUUGUCUAAAUAUACAAAGAUGUUUGUUUAAUUAUGUAAUGACAUGCUGUUGUUUUACCUUGCCUGUCUAAGGCACAUAAUUGGUCUAAUCAAAAGCUGAAUGGCCAGUAGGGAGGGAGGAGGUUUAGGCAGGAGUUCUGGGAAGAGAAAAUGAGUAAGAGGAGAAAUUUAGGCAGGGGUGGUGGAAAGAAAGAAUAAAAGACACCAGGAAGACAUUAGGGGACAGACAGACAAGGAAGAAGCAGGGAAAUAGGGCAUAAAGAAUGAAAGAAAGGUAAAACGACUCAAAGUAAAACAUAAAUGAAUAGAAACGGGUUAAAUUAAGUUAUAAGAGCUAGUGGGACAAGCCAAAGCCAAGGCUGAGAAUUCAUAAUUUAUAGUAAGUCUGUAUGUCUUUAUUUGGAAGCUGGUUGGUAGUCCAAAGAAAAUUCCAACUAUACAGGCUACCAUAUUUGAAAGUCUUCUUCUUCACCCUUUCUCUGGUCCCUCUAGAUAAGUUAUGGGUUUUUUUUAUAACAAAGUUGUUCUAUAAAUGCUCAUUUAUUUUAAAAUUUCAUCAUUAUAUUGAAAUUGGAACAUUAUUUUGUUUGACUAGUUUGUCUCAAAGUUGUUACCUACUGGAAGGGAUUUUUUGUUUUGUUUUGAUGGUGGUGGUGAUAUUCUCUCUCUCUCUCUCUCUCUCUCUCUCUCUCUCUCUCUCUCUCUCUCUCUUUCUGUGUGUGUGUAGGGGGGUUGGUUGGUUGGUUGGUUUGAUGGUUAGUUUGAGAUUUGAUAAUAAUAUGUAGCCUUGUCUGGCCUGGGACUUACUCUGUAGACAAGGCUUGUCUCAGACUUACAGAGAUGCUACGUAUCUCUGUCUCCCAAUUGCUGGAAUUAAAAGUAUGCAUCACUAGACCCAGAGGCCAGCUAAAGUUUUGAGUAGAAUAUAGAAUAUUCUGGGUAGUGUGUUAAAUUAUAUCCUAGUUGAAUACUAAAUUCCUAUGAUAGUUCAUUUUAACAAAUUCUUUCUGAUACAAAAGUCCCCCAAAACCUAGUGCCAGCCUUCCCCCUUAACUGAUCUCAUGUUGAGCCACCAAAUAGUAGAUGAUACAAUAAACACACAUCAUUUAGAAACUGUCUCCCAGGCAUAUAUAGCACUGCAGAGAAAAGUAUUAUCAAAAAAAAUCUCAUUCUGUCACAAAAUGAAGUAUUGAGAAUAUUUUAUUCCAUUUUAUUUCUGAUAUUAUAACUGAAAUUCCAGAAGGCAUGCCAAUUUCAAGUAGUUUCUGUUCUUUUUUUAAACAUGUUAGUAUAAUGGACUAUUAAGUUAAAUGAGACCAUCAGUUUCAAAUAAUGGAGUCAAAUUAAAUUUAAUAGACAUCACUAUUUGUGUCUGUGCUCAUGACAGAACACACUAUAACUUCCUUUGACAUGUACCAGCCUACCCUCAGGUCCCCUUCCUCAAUUCCUUAAGUCACCUCAAGUGACACAUCAAUGCCAAUGCUCAUUUCAGGAUUUCUCCCUAAUUUUGUCUCUGGUGUUCUAUUUAUCUGACAAUUAUUUCAUUGUUCACACUCAUUUUGUAUCUUUGCUCUUACAAAACUAUCAAAUUGCCCUCCUCACACUAGGUUGACAUCAUACUCAUCCUCUGAGCCAUUACCAGAAUUACCUUCCUCAAACAAAACAAAUGUGAUCAGGUCAGCCCUUCCAGUGACUUUCAAAGUCUUCCUCAUGUCCCUAAGGACCAAUUACACCAAACCCGACCCAAAUUAACACUGUAACCUCCAUGGCACCGUCCUCUCCACAACUUCUCACUUUCCCUUCUGUGUUUUCAACAAAUUGAUACUGCUUUCCAAUACCCACUUCCUCCUUCCUGCCUUCAGGUGAGCUUACCUCACUCCAGGUGCAGCACGAACAUUGCCUCAUUGCUGAAGAAUUCCACACUUCUUUCUGACAAGGUGUCAUUAACAAGAAGACAGUGUGUGGAAAUAUUAGGCAGACUGGCUUCUGUUUCAAAAGUCACCAUGAGACAGUGAAGGUACUAAAUUAAUUGAGUCAGAAGACAAUGGUUAAAAAUGUCUGGAGGGAGCUGUUCCGUGCUUACAGGCACUGCUUCCUCACCUGGAUGCCGCACUUCCUCCCUCUCUGACAGGAUUAACAUGAACGCUGCCCAGCGGUCUAUGAAGGCUGCUUCACCUUCCAGUUCAACAAUGCUUCCAUUUAAGAAGCAUCAGAACACAGAAAUCACCACAGGAGACCUGACUCAACUUGUUCCUCCAUUGGAGAGAAAGAUUAAAGUGUUUUUUUCACCUACUUCCCCCUCUUCACCCCCAUCACCUCUUAAUCCUCUAUCCGGCUGAUUCACAGCAGCUGUUAAAUAACUAGACAUUUAGGUAAAGGCAGACUGAACCUAUAAAUCAGCGUGUGUGAUAUAAUAACCAGCCUGCUCAUGCUGUCUUGGUUUGCUAUUUUUAUGCUGACUUCAGCUGCAGCAUCUAUAUGAAGGGGUUUAGAGCAAUUGUAAAUACUAAUCUCUGGGAUGCCAAUGUCAACAUGGAAAUAUAUACAAGUCAGUGAAACCCCCAUUACAUUCAUAGAGAUGAGUAUAGGACUGUCUGCGAACAUACUGAAUAGUAAAAAAAGAGAAAUAGAAAGUGAAGAAUUGUUAGAGAAUGAGGAGGGGAGUAGUAACUGAGAAGGUGGACUCUCGAAUUUGAGAUCAAAUUCCCUUGGAAGGGAAUGCACUCAUUUAUGCCACUACAGUGUUUGGCAACAGAUGAAGAAAAAAACAAACAAACAAACAAACAAACAAAAACCUGCUCCUAGGUAUGGUAGGGAAAGGGUUUAUUGUAGAUAUGAGAGAGAGCAUAGCCAGAGGCAAGAACAUCAGGGAGAGUCCAGAGCGAACAUGACCCCGAGCUGCUUCAUGAGAGAGGAGUAAGGGGGAGGGUACCCAAAAUGGCUGGAUUAUAUAGGGAAGGACAUCUCCGGGAAGGGAAGCCCAACCUCGUGGUGGAGAAGUUUAGGGUGAUAUGUUAAAUAAGCUCCUCAGUUAGCCAUUUGUCCCAGGUUUGAGAUCUAACACAUAUGUAUCCUCCAAACCUGUUAAAAAUCUCCCUAGUACCUGGGUGAAUAUUUGUUAGGACUGUCUAGCUGUGAAUGACAAAAACCAACAUCAGCUGGUUUCAAAUUCGGAAGAUACAAGAUUUCACAGGGAAGCCCAUUUGCAGACAUGUUGUACAUCCGAAGGAGCUGGCCGCAGAGCCAAGAAAUUUCUGAGCCAUCUAAAAUCUCUGCAUUUCAUCUCUCCCAACCCACCCAACCAUUUGUUUUUCUCGCUUUCGAUUAAUUUGUUCCCUUUGUGUAGCAGAUAUUUCUGGUUUAGCAAAUCCAUUGUCCUUUUCAUCUAAGUACAUAUCGGAAUCACAUGUUCUAGUAAUGUGAGCAUGUAGCUCCAUUCUGGCUUCUACUUCAAGGGCUGGUUCAUAAGCACCAGCUCCUCACCUCCUCUGCUCCACACACUUCUACCUACGCUUUCCAUCUGCUACCAGGAUGAUGAAGACUGAGACCGUGGACGUUGUCUGGGAACCAAAAGCUUAAAGAAUCUUGUUCUCUCCACAGUGCAACCUCUACCAAGAAGCUCCGCCCACUUCAGCAUCUACCAGGAAGCUCCUCCUACUUCAGCAUCCACCAGGAUGAUGCUCCUGCUUCAGCUUGCACUUGACGUGAAUGAGAAGUCAAAUGCUAUCCUAAUUCCUAUCCCCUUAAGCCAUUAAAAAUUAAGAUUUCUCAGCUGGGCAGUGGUGGCACAUGCCUUAAAUCCCAGCAAUUGGGAUGCAGAGGCAGGUGGCUCUCUGUGAGUGCGAGGCCAGCCUAGUCUACAGAGAGUUUUCCAGGACAGGCUCCAAAGUCACACAGAGGAACCCUGUCUCAAAAACAAAAAUAAGAUUUCUCUUUAAAGUGAGUAGUUAUCACUCUGAAGUGCCUUUCUUUUAUGUCAAUGAUCUCUUUUUCCUAAUUUGUGAAACCAGACUGAUUCCUGACCCAACAGGUCAGUCCUAUCCUUGAAAGGAGCAAUUUUGAUGAGGAAGGUGGGUUGUGAUACUAAAAAACACUAGUACAGGGUUUACCAUGUGAACAUGCAGUUGUUAGAACACAGUAAGUACGAGGCUUGUUUCAACUCUACUACUAACUCAGUGAGCUGACUUCACCCACAUAUGGUCUCCUUGAGCACCAGCCCCCUCCUCUUGGAGCCAGAGCUUUAGGUGAGAUUAAUUACCUCCAAAGUCUUUUGCAACUAUAGUAUGUUCUCCUUAAUGCUUCAUGCUAUACCUACAAAGCAACUCUUACACAGUGAAAGAGAAUUUCCCUGAAUGAUUUUUGCAAUUGAAUAACCUAAUGCCAAAAAUGUCAGUGACAAUUCUGAGAUACCCUGCUUAGUACCCUGACAUCAUGGGAACACACACACACACACACACACA
This 22979-nucleotide long non-coding RNA is filed under the name Cricetulus griseus (Chinese hamster). Its description in RNAcentral is "lncRNA (ENSCGRG00015033744.1)". Lineage: Eukaryota; Metazoa; Chordata; Mammalia; Rodentia; Cricetidae. The record is from RNAcentral.